RNAcentral lists this ribosomal RNA (459 nucleotides) under Triticum aestivum (bread wheat). RNAcentral's name for it is "partial small subunit ribosomal RNA". The record is from RNAcentral. Lineage: Eukaryota; Viridiplantae; Streptophyta; Magnoliopsida; Poales; Poaceae.
AUGUAUCAUGAGGAGAACCUUGGUAGAGUCCAAGACAAAGAAGCUCAUGAGAUAGAGGUUGAGAAACUGAAGAAGGAGCUGGAUUCUCUUGCCAAUCAGUACAGUCAGCUUGUGGAUGAUGUAUCCAAGCUGUUUGAUUACCAGGAUGGGCAGAAAUCCCAUGACAUGGAUUACACAAGCCAUGAACUUAAGGAGAAGAAGCAUCAGCUUGAGGAGCAGGCAAAGAUUGAGGUUCAAAUGGAGAAGCUUAAGCUGAAGAAAGAACAGAGGUGCAUCCUGCAGAGUCAAGCUGAUAUCAUUCAAAACACCAGGAAGGCCAUGAAGGAGAUACAAGUGGAGAGAGACCUCCUUAAAGAAGAGAAGAAGAAGCUGGAGCAUGUCAUUUCUGAGCUACUGAAGGUUGGUCAUGGGUCCAAGGAAAAGCUGGACAAGAUCAAACAAGUUGUCAUGGAGGAGUGA